This 407-nucleotide unclassified non-coding RNA is filed under the name uncultured fungus. RNAcentral describes it as "sequence contains ITS2". The record is from RNAcentral. Lineage: Eukaryota; Fungi.
AACCCAAAUUGGACUGGUACCUUAAAUACCAGUAUGUUUGGUUGAGUGUUAUAAAUUAAUAACCGUUUUUGGUUUUUAAUUAAUAGAGUUUAAUAUUAUUCUUAAUUGGAAUUAUAUUAAAAAAUUGAGAAUCUUAAUACGAUUCUUUAAAUUUAAGCAUAAUAAUUUGAGUAAAUUAAUUUUUAUUUAGAUAAUAUUACGCUAAUAGUUAAAUUCAAUAGUUAUUAAUAAGUUUUAGUAUUAAUUUAUUAUAACUUUUAUUAUUAUUGAGUUUAAUCAAGCUAUUAAGUUUAAAAUAUUAUUGUAAAGUUAUUAUUGUAAAUAAAAUUAAAAAAGUAAGUUUAUUCAAACUUUUUUUUUAUUAAAUUUUAUGCCUCAACUCAAGCAAGAUUACCCGCUGAACUUAA